GCGCACGCUGGCGGCAGGCCUCACCCAUGCCAGUCGCACGAACCUUUCGGGGUUAGUGGCGGACGGGUGAGUAACACGUGGGAACGUGCCUUUAGGUUCGGAAUAACUCAGGGAAACUUGUGCUAAUACCGAAUGUGCCCUUCGGGGGAAAGAUUAAUCGCCUUUAGAGCGGCCCGCGUCUGAUUAGCUAGUUGGUUGAGGUAAUGGCUCACCAAGGCGACGAUCAGUAGCUGGUCUGAGAGGAUGAUCAGCCACAUUGGGACUGAGACACGGCCCAAACUCCUACGGGAGGCAGCAGUGGGGAAUCUUGCGCAAUGGGCGAAAGCCUGACGCAGCCAUGCCGCGUGAAUGAUGAAGGUCUUAGGAUUGUAAAAUUCUUUCACCGGGGACGAUAAUGACGGUACCCGGAGAAGAAGCCCCGGCUAACUUCGUG
Molecule: ribosomal RNA, 433 nt
Filed under: uncultured bacterium
Lineage: Bacteria
Description: partial 16S ribosomal RNA
Rfam family: Bacterial small subunit ribosomal RNA
Source: RNAcentral